RNAcentral lists this long non-coding RNA (1602 nucleotides) under Sorghum bicolor (sorghum). RNAcentral's name for it is "long non-coding RNA (SBIC_LNC005898)". Lineage: Eukaryota; Viridiplantae; Streptophyta; Magnoliopsida; Poales; Poaceae. The record is from RNAcentral.
UCAAAUCACAUGUGCGCCAGGAUCUCAAAUUCACACACAUGGAUCGACAUCAUCAAUGGUACAAAACACAGUGUUCAAACGAAUUACAUAAAUGAGAGUAAAUGUACCAUUAUUACAAGCCAAAAGUUUAUCAAAGUGCGAAGGGAAAACAUAAGCUAAACUGUUCCAUAAAUAAAAGAGGAAACUAAACGCCGACGCAGCAGGACCACCUUGCCACAGGAAGGUCGACGGCAGAACCACACAAGCCUAACAACCGGGAGACUCAGGGUAGUCCUCAGGGAAAUCACAAUUGUACUCCUGAUCGUCCGAGCAACCUUUAAUGAUUAUAGCAAGGGUGAGCUCAUGUCGAACUCAGCAAGCACAGACGGAAAGUAAUGACAUGCAAGGCUUAAAACAAGGUAAAGCUGACUUGGUUUGACUGCAGUAGCAUUUUAGUUGAUCACUUUUAAUUAUGACUAUUAUUAGAACAACCUACUACUAUUCAUGAGUAGCAUAAACCCAACCCUUAUUGGUGUAAGUAGUAAUUAGCAUCUUUUAAAUGACUAUCCUAAUAAUUAUAGAAGUCCAGGGAUUAACCCCAAUUAUUAACACAGGAUAGCAAUCCUGCCAACACGGAAUAGCCAUUCCGCCAAAACACGAGGUAGCAACCUCGCCAAGGUCCAUCUCCAAGUAACCAGUGAAUCCAAUUUGCUCAUCAAGUGAGGGUCUGGGCCGCUCGUGACCGUGAGCACGGCUGAUAUAUCAGUUUUACACUCUGCAGAGGUGUGCACGUUCACUCCAAGUCGUGAUUCCCAUUUGCCCGGGGUCGCGACUCCCCAAAACACUUCCAAGGUGAGCAGGCAGGGUCUCACUACGAGACCUUUCACAGGGUCCAACUAAUAGGAUGCCACUCGCAAGUUUUUGCCGGGGCGCUCGGCAGUCGAUACCCAUAGCCAUGGCGUACCGAUCAACCGACAACUUAAUAUUCAUUACCCAAGUUACUUCCUCACGCCUACCCGGAAAGUAACACCCUACUAGUGGAGGUCCUGCUAAUUAGUCAAGCCAGAGCCAUAUAGCUUGGAGCUGCACUGUAAGUCCCAGGGGGCCGCUCCCUGACUAAGUCCUUACGGAGAGCAGAGACGGGUACGCCCGGCAAACCGGACCACCAACGGUACCCGCUCCCCCUGUCACCACCAUCAUCACGAUGCUCAUAAGCAUCCAUCGCCAUCACCACAGUGACCAAAGAUUCAGCACAAUUUAAGCAUCAAGUUGAGUAGAGACUAAUACUUGUUUAGGCAUGUGUAUAAGAUGAGUAGAGCAGCUAAGCAAAUCUAGUAUAGCCUAGUCUACCCAAAUACAUGACCCCAGGUGAGCAAGGAAUAAUAAGUAAAGCUAGUCAUGUCCUUAGGGUUUGCAUUCAUUGGGCACAUGCAUAUAAAGCAAAUGACAUUAAUGAGUAGGUUCAAAAUGAUCAAACGGUGUCUGCACUUGCCUUGAUCGAAGUCGGGUUGCUCGAACUCAGCAGGAUCCUGAACCUCUUCCUUCACGAACGUCUCGUUGGCUAUAUGCGACAAUCAUCAAUCAUAGGAACAAUACAUGCAAGCAAACAAACUUAAUCAGAAA